Molecule: long non-coding RNA, 801 nt
Filed under: Olea europaea subsp. europaea
Lineage: Eukaryota; Viridiplantae; Streptophyta; Magnoliopsida; Lamiales; Oleaceae
Source: RNAcentral
CUUACAUCUUGUGCACUUCUUGAGAAUCAGAUAGUUUUUAUUCGUUAAUUUACUACAUUAGAAGAAAGAGGACCGACUCAUGAAAGGGCUCCAACCAACGCCAAGAUGUGCAAGAUUUAACUCAUCCCACGAACGGUUCAAAGGUCGAGCCCCUCUCUAGCAAUCAAGGAGCAACUUUGGCUAACUAGCACCAAAAAGACAAUUCACUUGAUGAUUGCCUUUGGGAUUUGAACUCUAUGGAGAAGAAGCAUUGUUUCCUAUCAUAAUGUUGGUUUUGAUUGCCCGGGCAAAGGGAAGGUAUGCAGGAACAGGUUCCACUUUUAUUAGUUAAAGAAGAGAUUAAGCCCCGGUUUGUUUUCCAUUAUUCACUCAUUAAAAUAAAAAAAAUAUGACUGUUAUACAUCACGUCAAACCAUCAUAUUUGAAAAUCUAUCUCUUAUGUGGAACUUUUUCAUCCUCAUUUUCCUAUUAAUGUGACUCAAACGGGGCCUAAAUAACUUAUUUUGAUAAUAACAUCACUUAAAAAGGGAGAAAAAUAACCACCAAAUUAAAAUGAAUAUUUGCUUGUAUAAACUCAACAGAAGAAUCAGCAUUUCAUACUUAAAAAGGAGAAAUUAGCCUCUCUUUCAAUUUUUCAUAUAAAUCUAAUAAAAUGUCAUGCACGAAAAUCUAAGGAUAGAGAUAUUUGACAAAAUUUUAUUGACAAAAUAGUGUACUCACUCUUACAAAAUUAACGGACCCCACGUGAAUUUAAAAAACGUCGGCUUGUAAUCCCCAUCCCCAUUGUGAAUAGUGAGUAAG